This 1327-nucleotide ribosomal RNA is filed under the name Eleutherodactylus coqui (Puerto Rican coqui). RNAcentral describes it as "partial 16S ribosomal RNA". It matches the Rfam family "Bacterial large subunit ribosomal RNA", at positions 425 to 2528 of the family's 2925-position model. The record is from RNAcentral. Lineage: Eukaryota; Metazoa; Chordata; Amphibia; Anura; Eleutherodactylidae.
CCAAAAACCUAGCCACAAUCUCUCUGCUACUUCCUUCCCCAAAUUAAAAUAUUUUUCCAUUUAGUAAAGACGAUUAAAAAAUUAAUCAGAGCAAUAAAUCUGUACCGCAAGGGAAAGGUGAAAUAGUAAUGAAACACUCAUUAAGCACAAAACAGUAGAGACUAACCCUCNNNNNNNNNNNNNNNNNNNNNNACUAGUCUAACCAAGCAAAAGGAAUUACAGUUUGACUCCCCGAAACUAAGUGAGCUACUUUAAGACAGCUUAACGAGCGAACCCGUCUCUGUUGCAAAAGAGUGGGGAGAUCUUAAAGUAGGGGCGACAUACCUAACGAACUUAGCGAUAGCUGGUUAUUCAGGAAACGAAUUUUAGUUCAACCUAAAGUUAUUUAAAUUUUUAUAAAUAAAAUCUUAACUCUAGAGCUAAUCAAAUAAGUCAGAGCCUAUUUGAAACAGGACACAACCUCCGCCCGUGGGUAAUAAACUAUAUUCUUAACCAAGUUGGCCUAAAAGCAGCCACCUUUUUAAAAGCGUCAAAGCUUAAUUACUUAACACUUAACCAAUCCCUCAAACCCCCAAAGAACCCCUCAUUAGUACUGAAUGAUCUUAUACUUCUAUAAGACCCUUUAUGUUAAAACUAGUAACAAGAAGCUAACCCUCUCUUAUAUGUAAGCAUACGUCAGAACAGACAAUCUACUGACUCAUAACAGCCAUAAACUUUAGUGAUACCACCCCAAGAAAACCUUACUUAAACAACUGUUAACCCGACACAAGAACAUAAAAAGAAAGAUUACAAGAAAAAGAAGGAACUCGGCAAAUUUUGAUUCCGCCUGUUUACCAAAAACAUCGCCUCCUGCCUACAUAUAGGAGGUCCAGCCUGCCCAGUGACCUAGUUCAACGGCCGCGGUAUCCUAACCGUGCGAAGGUAGCGUAAUCACCUGUUUUUUAAUUAAAGACCUGUAUCAAAGGCAUCACGAGAAUCGCACUGUCUCCUUUCUCCAAUCAGUGAACCUAAUCUCCCCGUGAAAAAGCCGGGAUAAUUAUACAAGACGAGAAGACCCUUUGGAGCUUUAGAUAAAGUAAUAUAUUGCUUCCACUAUUUCCCACCUACAUAAAAUAGCAUCUAUCUUACAAUUCUUCGGUUGGGGCAACCGCGGAGCAUAAAACAACCUCCAAGCUGAAUGGAACUUUCCUUAACAAAAAGCCACAUCUUUAUGUAUCAACAAAUUGACAUUAUGACCCAAUAUUUUGAUUAUCGAACCAAGUUACCCUAGGGAUAACAGCGCAAUCUACUUCAAGAGCCCAUAUCGACAAGUAGGCUUACGACCUCG